GAUGAAGAACGUAGCGAAAUGCGAUAAGUAGUGUGAAUUGCAGAAUUCAGUGAAUCAUCGAAUCUUUGAACGCACAUUGCGCCCCUUGGUAUUCCAUGGGGCAUGCCUAUUCGAGCGUCAUUUGUACCCUCAAGCUAAGCUUGGUGUUGGGUGUUUGUCCACUCCCUCGUGUUUGGACUCGCCUUAAAACAAUUGGCAGCCAGUGUUUUGGUAUUGAAGCGCAGCACAAUUUGCGAUUCUAGCCUAGAAUACUAGCAUCCAUCAAGUCAUUUUUAACGCUUGACCUCGGAUCAGGUAGGGAUACCCGCUGAACUUAAGCAUAUCAAUAAGCGGAGGA
RNAcentral lists this unclassified non-coding RNA (337 nucleotides) under soil metagenome. Its description in RNAcentral is "partial contains 5.8S ribosomal RNA, internal transcribed spacer 2, and large subunit ribosomal RNA". The stretch from base 1 to 120 matches the Rfam family "5.8S ribosomal RNA", at positions 35 to 154 of the family's 154-position model. The record is from RNAcentral.